GCGGGUAUGGCGGAACUGGCAGACGCACUAGAUUUAGGAUCUAGCGCUUCACGGCGUGGGGGUUCGACUCCCUUUACCCGCACCA
This 85-nucleotide transfer RNA is filed under the name Jeotgalicoccus halotolerans. RNAcentral's name for it is "tRNA-Leu(tag)". It matches the Rfam family "tRNA". Rfam says of the family: Transfer RNA (tRNA) molecules are approximately 80 nucleotides in length. Their secondary structure includes four short double-helical elements and three loops (D, anti-codon, and T loops). The record is from RNAcentral. Lineage: Bacteria; Bacillati; Bacillota; Bacilli; Caryophanales; Staphylococcaceae. RNAcentral also lists the same sequence under 1 other name.